RNAcentral lists this ribosomal RNA (440 nucleotides) under uncultured bacterium. RNAcentral describes it as "partial 16S ribosomal RNA". It matches the Rfam family "Bacterial small subunit ribosomal RNA", at positions 338 to 795 of the family's 1533-position model. The record is from RNAcentral.
CCUACGGGCGGCUGCAGUGGGGGAUAUUGCACAAUGGGGGGAACCCUGAUGCAGCGACGCCGCGUGUGGGAAGACGGUCCUCUGGAUUGUAAACCACUGUCCCCAGGGACGAAAAUGACGGUACCUGGGGAGGAAGCUCCGGCUAACUACGUGCCAGCAGCCGCGGUAAUACGUAGGAAGCGAGCGUUGUCCGGAAUUACUGGGUGUAAAGGGAGCGUAGGCGGGGAUGCAAGUUGGGUGUCAAAACUACCGGCUCAACUGGUAGUCGCACCCAAAACUGCAGCUCUUGAGUGAAGUAGAGGCAGGCGGAAUUCCUAGUGUAGCGGUGAAAUGCGUAGAUAUUAGGAGGAACACCAGUGGCGAAGGCGGCCUGCUGGGCUUUUACUGACGCUGAGGCUCGAAAGUGUGGGGAGCAAACAGGAUUAGAUACCCUUGUAGUC